CACACAUUUACACCAUGACAGACACAGAAACACACAUAUACCAUGACAGAUACACACCCCAUGACAGACACACACACACCAUGACAGACCAUGACACAGACAGACACACACCAUGACACAGACACACACACCAUGACACAGACACACACCCCAUGACGGACAGACACACACACACACCCCAUGAUGGACAGACAGACACACACACACCCC
Non-coding RNA from Pelobates cultripes (western spadefoot toad), 210 nucleotides. The record is from the annotation of a GenBank genome assembly. NCBI's taxonomy places the organism in Eukaryota, Metazoa, Chordata, Amphibia, Anura, Pelobatidae.